GGGAACAUAGCUCAGUUGGUAGAGCGCAUGACUGUUAAUCAUGAUGUCACAGGUUCGAGCCCUGCUGUUCCCG
This 73-nucleotide transfer RNA is filed under the name Streptococcus suis. RNAcentral's name for it is "tRNA-Asn". It matches the Rfam family "tRNA". From Rfam's summary of the family: Transfer RNA (tRNA) molecules are approximately 80 nucleotides in length. Their secondary structure includes four short double-helical elements and three loops (D, anti-codon, and T loops). Lineage: Bacteria; Bacillati; Bacillota; Bacilli; Lactobacillales; Streptococcaceae. The record is from RNAcentral. RNAcentral also lists the same sequence under 3 other names.